GGCCGUGUGGCUCAAUGGCAGAGCGUCUGACUACGAUUAGGCUAAAGCUGCUAAUGCGGCUAGCACUAACGAAAGUAAAUCAGAAGGUCGCAGGUUCGACCCCUGUCUCGGUCA
This is a non-coding RNA of Claviceps citrina, 114 nucleotides long. The record is from the annotation of a GenBank genome assembly. NCBI's taxonomy places the organism in Eukaryota, Fungi, Ascomycota, Sordariomycetes, Hypocreales, Clavicipitaceae.